AAUGUUAUGUCUGAUAUAAAAGUAAUAAAUUGUAAAUUUAUUUAUGAAAGAGUUUUCUUUUUAACAUUA
This 69-nucleotide transfer RNA is filed under the name Acropyga kinomurai. RNAcentral describes it as "tRNA-Tyr". Lineage: Eukaryota; Metazoa; Arthropoda; Insecta; Hymenoptera; Formicidae. The record is from RNAcentral.